UGGGUCCAGCCUUUACUUCUGAGUGGUCU
Molecule: non-coding RNA, 29 nt
Filed under: Homo sapiens (human)
Lineage: Eukaryota; Metazoa; Chordata; Mammalia; Primates; Hominidae
Source: RNAcentral